UGGUGAACAUCCAGCAAACAGAAGAAUUAAGAACUAUGUGGAAGCUGACAUUGUCUUGUUGUCAGCCAUAUUGCUACCCUUAGCUAUGUUAUGGUGUCUAAGAUUAUGGAACAAAGUUUAUGGUGUCUAAGAUUCUUUAUACUCCUUGAAAGACUUAUAAUAUUUUUCUGGACUAUGCUGGACUAUUGAACUAUUUUGUUAUUUUUAUUUUUAUUUUUGUAGAGUUAGCCGGAGAGAGAGGAAGUGUUAGCUUACUCAGGCAUGGAUGUACUAUGUGUGUCAUUGAUGUAUGUUGAGUGUACCAAGGAUGGAUUCCAAUGUAUUAAGUGUGGAUAUGACUGGACUAUCGAAAUAGGGAUUUGAUUAGGAGGCAUAGGACGCAAGGUCAUGAUUGGGAUUAUUGCUAGAAUUGCAAACUGAUUAGAAAUGAUCUUAUGAUUUAAUAUGUAAGUGGCCUUUUCAAACUAAUCAAGAAGUGUUUCCCAAUCCCGAUACCUGAGCUAUUUACUUACAUAGUGCAGGUUUUAUAAGUCACUAAUGCUGUCAACGUGAGGGGAUGACAUGUCUACACAGUCAUGGCCCUCACUUAGAAUUUACCCAGAUGUGCUUUUUUUCUCAAUUAUGAGUUUUUGCCACUGGGAUUUUUGACCUGGCCCAAGUUCACUGGGUGGACUGGUAAUCCAAGACCCUGGUCCAAAGAGGGGAAAUAGAUUUUAU
This is a non-coding RNA of Pelobates cultripes (western spadefoot toad), 717 nucleotides long. Lineage: Eukaryota; Metazoa; Chordata; Amphibia; Anura; Pelobatidae. The record is from the annotation of a GenBank genome assembly.